Molecule: ribosomal RNA, 2655 nt
Filed under: Triticum aestivum (bread wheat)
Lineage: Eukaryota; Viridiplantae; Streptophyta; Magnoliopsida; Poales; Poaceae
Description: partial small subunit ribosomal RNA
Rfam family: MIR1120/MIR1122 microRNA precursor family (bases 1057-1182)
Source: RNAcentral
CUUGACCCGAGCAACCUGUACAAAAUCCUGCUCUCUAAACUUAAAAAAAAAAACAAAAAGUUUGGGGUAAUUUUUUUUUACAGAUUUGACUGAAGGAAAAGGGAAAUUCACACGGGCGAGGCCGGAGAGGGACAGGGGCAAAGAGUAGGGAGAAAGAAUAUACCUUUGCCAUCUCCCCGGAUCCCUUCCGUGCUCUGCUGCCACCCCCAAAUCUCCUCCCCACUCCCGAAUCAAAUCCCCCGUCACCUCCGCCACCACCCCACCCCACCUAUCCCCACCGCCGGCGCGAGCACGGGAGCGCGAGCGCGAGCGGAGCGAUGGCCGGCGCGGGAUCCUCGUCGGGCGGCUCGGGCGGCGGCGGGGGGAGGGAGGGCGACUGGGACUGCGGCGGCUGCGGCAACCGCAACUACGCCUUCCGCUCCCUCUGCAACCGCUGCAAGCAGCCGCGCCUCCUCGUCGACCCCAACACCCCGCGCGACUCCAAGUGGCUCCCCCGCGCCGGCGACUGGAUCUGCAACGGUACGGCCCCCAACACCCCACACCUCGCCUCUAGUUUCUGCUGUUCCCCAUCUAGGCUUAUGUAGAGCUGAAAUCAAGUGGAGAGGGAAACCUAUCAGGCUGGUAGAGCUAGCCUGGAGGUGGCGUAGGCUCGAGAUGUGUUGUAUCAUGGGCUAGGGUGUGAUACGAGAUGGGCACCGAUGGCUCUCGGGGGCCCUGUUAAUUUAAGCUUGUGAUCUCUCUCGGCACAUUGCAUCGGAGGUUUAACCGCUUAAUGGUUAUAGCAUUUAUGUUUUGUUUGAUUAUCUUAAUCCUGUUUAGGUGUAUUUGGCCUUGUUAGAGCCUAUGAUCAUAGUAAUUGCAGUAUAUGGUUGUGAUAUAAUUCUGGGGUCUGGAGGCUUGGGUAAUGAGUUGGUACUCAAAAGUGAAUACACGCUAUUUAAGCGAUUUUUGCUUGUGCCAAAUAACAUGUGUGGGAUGUGGGAUCCGUGCUAGUAAUUUCUUACCUUUUGUUCUGGAAAAUCUUAAUUGCUGUUGAUGUUUAUUUUACUCAUUGUAUAUGUACUCCCUCCGUCCGAAAAAACUUGUCCCAAGCUUGUCCCUCAAAUGGAUGUAUCUAGCACUAACUUGGUGGUAGAUACAUCCAUUUGAGGGACAAGCUUUUCCGGACGGAGGGAGUAUGCUUGUAGAUGAUAUUAGAGAAGUACCAGCAGCUUUACUGAGUAAAUGACUAGUGUGUGUGUGCUUAUUUCUUUUUUUGGGUGUUGUGCGGGAUGGCUGGUUGCCUUGGUGUGCGUGUACUUCGGAUGUGCGUUGUCGUGCUGCCUGGUGUGGUGGUGGUGGUGGUGGUGGUUGGUUUAUGCGGCAAAUGGAUGAAUGAAUAGGUUGCAGUAACAAUAAUUAUGCAUCCAGAAAGAACUGCAAGAAGUGCAACCUGCCCAAGGAGGAAGCAGCGAUGCCGCAGUUAUCAAUGGGAGGAAUGAUGCCAGCCUAUGCAGAUUAUAUGGCCAGGGUACAGGAGAUUGCCAAUGCUGGGUAUAAGAUGAACUUUGGCAAUCCAGCUAUGCAGCAGCAGCUACUCGCAAACGCAAACUGGCCCUAUGGGAUGGCUGGUAGAUAUGGUAUGCAAUCGUCUGCUUGGCCGUUCGCCGGCAACAGCACAAAUCAGUUUCAAGGUGUUCCAAAGGACUGGCGUAGUGGUGACUGGCUCUGCAGCUGUGGAUUCCAUAACUAUUCAUCUCGUGCUCAGUGCAAAGAGUGUAAUGCACCUGUCCCAUCAGGCAUGGCCUCUACAACCAUGAAAUCCACAGGAGCAGAUAGUUCUUCAACAUUAGGUAAUAAGCGUUUGGCAUCAGAGGAGCUUGCUAAUGACUGGGAUAAUAAAAGGCUAAAUCCAGGAAAUGCUAAUUAUCCACUUUCAGCAGCAGGCUCAGAUAAUUUAUUUAUGGGUCAAGGUGCUGGAAACAAUAAUGGCCAGACAACUUAUUCUGCAUAUGACAAUGGAAACUCAAUGGCAUCUGGACAAAUUCCAGGGAUGUCUGGUGUAGUUGGUAAAGGAGCAAAAUGGCGUGAAGGAGACUGGUUGUGCACCAACUGCAGCAAUCAUAACUACGCAUCUCGUGCAUUUUGUAACAGAUGCAAAACUGCGAAAGAGUCUUCGGUUCAUCCGGGUGCGCUAUAAUAAUAGCUUUGCUUGUACUUUUGCGACCAAGUUAUUGAAGCGGGUGUGGAGUCUCCUGGUUCUGCCACGGCUGAUCGGUCGCUGCCGUCGCCAGGAUUGUUGUUAUGUUUGUGGUUUGGCCCUGCAGUACUUAUGCUGCUGUUAAAAUUGUUCUGUCUGAAUCUAAUAUUGUUUGUGGGAGUUUGCAUUUGUCUACGCCGAGCACUAGAAUAAAACGUUUCCUGUAUGUCGAAGUGUACCAUCUGUUUUUUGUUUUUGUGUGUGCGUGUGCAACGAUUUGAUUUGUUCUUCAGUACCUCAACAGCUAUGAUGUAAUGUAAUGCUGGAUCUAUUUCAUGUGGCAAUGCUGGAUUUUAUUGUUUUAUGAAUCGCUUAACCUUGUAAAGAUCUGUAAUCCUGGUCCACAGCUUUGUACCGUCGAUAUCAUUGUCAUUUUAGAAAAUUAUUGAACAUGUGACUGGUUUCAGACAUGUUCU